UGGCGCGUCACCCGCCUCUCCUCUCUUUCUGCAGCGUGUGCCUAUUCUCUCCUGCAUCACGAGGUAUGUGUCGCCAACCAAAGACUCUGCUCUACACAAGCGAACGCGCUGACACACUCGCGGACAUACUGCAGGUCAAUCACAGUUUAUUGCUUUUCCUCCUUUAAGCAGGCAAGGGUGGGAGGCCGGAAGGACUGACGUCACUAUCCUCUGCCCCCUCCCACCCAUUUUCCAUGUGCGUUGAUGCUCCUACGUGAAUCUUUCACGGCGGUUCGUCGCCUUCGCGGGGCUGUGGCCUUCGCACCGCUUCGGCUCACGGCUGUUUGCACGAUUCCACGGUACAGCACCGUGCAAGACGGGCGCAGCUGCCGGGAACAGACACACCCUCGCCGCCAUCAAUGUCCUUCGCGGAAUUCUGUAGCUGGCGUCCACCAGCGACAUCACCGCCAUCAUGCGCGGUCGGUGGAGCCUUGUGCCCGAUUUCGUGGUGCGGCACCGUCGUCGGGACGUCGUGGUAAGUCGCGGACGCGCAGUGAGGCGCACGUCUUGCAUGAGGCGACUUUGCGGCCGUCGCGUUUUACACCCAUGAGAGCUACGAGGGCGCAUGAUGCUACGUGCACCUCGCCGUAUGAGUUGAAUACGGCUCAGAUGUUGGACGCUGUGCUGGCUCUUUCCUCGGCUCUUUACGAGGACGAGGCCGCCGCGACGGCUGCCCGCGUCAAUGACGCCAAGGCGCCGAGUAAUGCUGCCGACCACCCCGUCUCCUCUCCACAUGUGCCCCCUAUGACGUCGUACCGUGCUCUUGGUGAGCUGGAAGGGGUGACGGCGGUUCCGGAGGAUGCGUAUGGGUCUCUCGACGCGGAGGACUUAAUGACGUCCAUGGGCGCGUGCUCUGAGGGAUGUGGUGACAAGCGGGACAAGCGUACACUGCACAUCGAUCUCGCUACCAACUCCCCGGCGCCUUCUUUCUCGAGCGCCGUUAUAGCGCAGCCUUCAAGUACUGGCACGACCUCUUCCUCCAUCGUGGCUACCUUCGCUGCCCGUGACGUCCCGCUCGAGCGCAAGGUGCUCCAGUUUAUGGACCUGUGCAGCAACUCGAGUGCAACGCCACACCUAAGCGGCGACCACAGCGACGCGGCGUCGCAGCUACCUUGGAAUGGCGGAGCGGGAGCGCGAGCUGGCGACAGUAGGAGGGAUCGCACUACUCCUUCCGCUGCCACCGCAUGGUCUUCUUCCGCUGCUGCAGCGCUGGUAUUGCCGGGGCUGGACAUGAAGGCCAUCCUGGCACAUGGCGUGCUGGAGAAUCGUCAUCUGCGUGGCCUCUCUCUCGUUCGGUGUGACUUCUCGCUAGUGCGGUGGUCGCACGUGACGCUGGAGGACUGCGACCUUUCGCGCAGCCUCUUCUACGGAGCCAAGCUGGACACCGUGAUUUUUCGUCGCUGCAACUUCACAGGUUGCAUCCUCAAAGGCGUCCAGUGCCGCCCAUCCUUGUCCACCACGGCCCGCUUUGAGGACUGCGAUUUCCGCCUUGCCGCUGUUGGGCUGACGUGCAUCCCACACGACUCGAGGCAGACGGGCAAAGACGCCGAUCAAGGCCAGGGCAUCAUCUGUAGCAGCAGCCGCCGGGACGGCCCAUCGGUGUGCUUCCUUCGUUGCAACUUCGACCUCAGCGACUUUCAGUUCAGCCAAGGCCUUGACAAGGCCAAGUUUGUGAAGUGCAGCAAUACGCGUUCGGCCUCGCGCUUCCCUCUCCGUGUUCGCGGGGGCCUAGGCUGACGGGUUUAGCGGGGUUUUCGACGACGGAGGAUGAGAGGGUAGGGGGGGCGAGGGAUGCAUGCGUGGCGAUGCGUGGGUGCAUUAUACAGCACGAGUGGGGCCAAGCUACUGCUUUGCCUUGUCGGGCCUCCUUGUGGUCAUCUCUCGCGCCUCUCACUGUGGCUUGGCCUCCUUUACGACCGACGCGGAUGCCGACUUCCCGCAGCUUGCAGGGCGCGACCGCACGUGCACGUGUUUGCAUGCAUGCAGCGAUGAGUCUGCGUAUGCUUGCUUCCUUCGUUGCCGUUUCCAUCGUCACAGGUACGGACC
This 2085-nucleotide unclassified non-coding RNA is filed under the name Leishmania donovani. RNAcentral describes it as "gene:LdHU3.26.0880(CDS-product:Pentapeptide_repea ts_(9_copies)_putative)". Lineage: Eukaryota; Euglenozoa; Kinetoplastea; Trypanosomatida; Trypanosomatidae. The record is from RNAcentral.